RNAcentral lists this ribosomal RNA (403 nucleotides) under uncultured bacterium. Its description in RNAcentral is "partial 16S ribosomal RNA". It matches the Rfam family "Bacterial small subunit ribosomal RNA", at positions 30 to 526 of the family's 1533-position model. The record is from RNAcentral.
AUUGAACGCUGGCGGCAGGCCUAACACAUGCAAGUCGAGCGAGCGGCGGACGGGUGCGUAAUGUAUGGGGACUGCCCGAUAGCGGGGGAUAACUACUGGAAACGGUAGCUAAUACCGCAUACUAUCGGAUAACCCAUAUGGGAUUAGCUAGUGGGUGAGGUAAUGGCCAACCAAGGCGACGAUCCCUAGCUGGUCUGAGAGGUUGAUCGGCAACACUGGUACUGAGACACGGCCCAGACUCCUACGGAGGCAGCAGUGGGGAAUCUUCGACAAUGGACGAAAGCUUGACCGAGCAAUGCCGCGGGAGUGAAGAAGGCUUUAGGUUUGUAAAACUCUGUUGGUAGAGAAGCGGUAUCUAAAGAGAAAGCCCCGGCUAACUCCGUGCCAGCAGCCGCGGUAAUUC